CCGGCUAACUUCGUGCCAGCAGCCGCGGUAAUACGAAGGGACCUAGCGUAGUUCGGAAUUACCGGGCGUAAAGCGCGCGUAGGCCGUUGAUUUAGUUAAUUGUGAAAUCCCAAAGCUUAACUUUGGAACUGCAAUUAAAACUGCUCGACUAGAGUUUGAUAGAGGAAAGCGGAAUACAUAGUGUAGAGGUGAAAUUCGUAGAUUUUAUGUAAAACACCAGUUGCGAAGGCGGCUUUCUGGAUCAACACUGACCCUAAGGCGCGAAAGUAUGGGUAGCAAAGAGGAUUAGAUACCCUCGUAGUCCAUACCAUAAACGAUGAUUGCUAGAUGUUGGAAAUUUAUUUUCAGUAUCGCAGCUAACGCAUUAAGCAAUCCGCCUGGGGAGUACGACCGCAAGGUUAAAACUC
Molecule: ribosomal RNA, 407 nt
Filed under: uncultured bacterium
Lineage: Bacteria
Description: bacterial SSU rRNA
Rfam family: Bacterial small subunit ribosomal RNA
Source: RNAcentral